Oncorhynchus tshawytscha (Chinook salmon) is the source of this 2125-nucleotide long non-coding RNA. NCBI's taxonomy places the organism in Eukaryota, Metazoa, Chordata, Actinopteri, Salmoniformes, Salmonidae. The record is from Ensembl.
GUGAGAAAGAUGGUGGUUCCUUUUAACAUGAGUCUUCAAUAUUCCCAGAAGACCACCCAAAGCAACACCAAGUCAAGGCCAAGACCGGAGCAAAUCGAGACCAAUUCAAGACCAGGACCAGAGCUAAUCGAGACUGGAGGGAGACAGAGUCAAGACCAGAACAAUGCAAGUCCAAUCAAAGAUCAUGAUUGUAAUUUUGUCAGAUUUCUACUAUAAUAAGUGUUGUAUUUCUGUGCUCAUACGGAUUCUGUGUUCAUAUUUCAACCUCGGAUGGGGCCACAGUGUCUCCUGACCCCUCCUGUCUCAGCCUCCAGUAUUUAUGCUGCAGUAGUUUAUGUGUCGGGGGGCUGGGGUCAGUUUGUUAUAUCUGGAGUACUUCUCCUGUCCUAUUCGGUGUCCUGUGUGAAUCUAAGUGUGCGUUCUCUAAUUCUCUCCUUCUCUCUUUCUUUCUCUCUCUCGGAGGACCCGAGCCCUAGGACCUGAGCUCCAGGACUACCUGACAUGAUGACUCCUUGCUGUCCCCAGUCCACCUGGCCAUGCUGCUGUUCCAGUUUCAACUGACCUGAGCCCUAGGACCAUGCCCCAGGACUACCUGACAUGAUGACUCCUUGCUGUCCCCAGUCCACCUGGCCAUGCUGCUGCUCCAGUUUCAACUUCCACCUGACUGUGCUGCUGCUCCAGUUUCAAUUGUUCUGCCUUAUUAUUAUUCGACCAUGCUGGCCAUUUAUGAACAUUUGAACAUCUUGGCCAUGUUCUGUUAUAAUCUCCACCCGGCACAGCCAGAAGAGGACUGGCCACCCCACAUAGCCUGGUUCCUCUCUAGGUUUCUUCCUAGGUUUUGGCCUUUCUAGGGAGUUUUUCCUAGCCACCGUGCUUCUACACCUGCAUUGCUUGCUGUUUGGGGUUUUAGGCUGGGUUUCUGUACAGCACUUUGAGAUAUCAGCUGAUGUACGAAGGGCUAUAUAAAUAAAUUUGAUUUGAUUUGAUUUGAAAACAUAUGGAUUCUGUGUUCAUAUUUCAGAACAUGGAUUCUGUGCUCAUAUUUCAAAACAUAUGGAUUCUGUGUUCAUAUUUCAGAACAUAUGGAUUCUGUGUUCAUAUUUCAAAACAUAUGGAUUCUGUGCUCAUAUUUCAGAACAUAUGGAUUCUGUGUUCAUAUUUCAGAACAUAUGGAUUCUGUGUUCAUAUUUCAGAACAUAUGGAUUAUGUGUUCAUAAUUUGGAACAUAUAGAUUCUGUGUUCAUAUUUCAGAACAUAUGGAUUCUUUAGUCAUUCAGUAUGAUGAAAAAAAUGCAUGACCAAAGCUGGUCUCUGAAUAACAGAUUUAAAAAAUCUAAAUAUUUGACCAUUUCCGCCGGUCCCCUCUUACUAAUAGCGAGCAUGCAACUAAUACAAUUUCCCCUAGUGUCCCCUAUUAGCGGUGCAAGGAAAUUAAGAGGAUCAAAUCAAAUCAACUCAACUCAACUUUAAUUAUAAACCCCUUUUUACAUCAGCAGAUGUCACAAAGUGCUCAUACAGACACCCAGCCUAAAAUCCCAAACAGCAAGCAAUGCAAUGUAGAAGAGGAUAAUCUAUAUGUCUCUGUAAGUGCUUCUUUAGUACACAGAGGUGAAAAACCCAGAGAGAGAGAGAGAAUAGAGAGAGAGAGUUUGUUUGUGUGUGUUCACAGGUGCAUGUGUGCCCUUACAAAUUCCACAUGUGAAACUGCAUAUCUGAUUCUCAAAUGUGAAAAGUAAAACCACAAAUUUCAGAUGUGAAACUGCAAUUCACAUGUGAGGUGAAAACAUGUUGGUGUUAAAAUGUGAACUCUAAAUGUAACACGUGAAAUUUAGGCUCAACAUCUGAAAACAGCUAUUUCACAUGUGAAACUGCAAAUUUGAUGUUUUUUUUCAUAAGGGUGUGUGUGUGUCAAAUCAAAUCAAAGUUUAUUGGUCGUGUACACAAUUUGGCAGAUGUUAUAACAAUGCAGUAAAAAUGUCAAACAAGUACACAAAUAAUCAUAUGAAAAAACUAGAAAAAGUGUGUGCGAGUGUAUAUAUGAGAACAUGAGUCUGUGUGUAUGUGUGUGUAUGAUGUGUGUGUGUGUGUGUGUGUGUGUGUGUGUGUGUGUGUGUGUGUGUGUGUG